Molecule: long non-coding RNA, 208 nt
Filed under: Nicotiana benthamiana
Lineage: Eukaryota; Viridiplantae; Streptophyta; Magnoliopsida; Solanales; Solanaceae
Description: long non-coding RNA (NBEN_LNC000252)
Source: RNAcentral
UCAUAAAAUAAAGUUUUAGAAAAUGCAUCAACAUAAUCCCAAUAAUUAUAGUUGAUAGAAAUUAUUUGUACUGGAUGUACAUAUUGACAAUCUUUUAAAGUACUUAAACCCCAUCUUCUGGAAAAAUAAUUCUUUUAAUAAUCAAUUUUGAAAAGGAAAAAUAUGAUUUAUUAGGGCCACCAUUAUUAUUAUGUGCAAUCUCAACAGA